CGUUAGACGAACGGUCUGGAAAGUCCGACGAUACAGGGUGAUAGUCCCGUAGUUGACGACGUGUGUUCAGUGAAAUCGAGUAGGGCGGGACACGUGAUAUCCUGUCUGAAUAUGGGGGGGACCAUCCUCCAAGGCUAAAUACUACUGACUGACCGAUAGUGAACCAGUACCGUGAGGGAAAGGCGAAAAGAACCCCUGUGAGGGGAGUGAAAUAGAACCUGAAACCGUGUACGUACAAGCAGUAGGAGCAGGCUUUGUCCUGUGACUGCGUACCUUUUGUAUAAUGGGUCAGCGACUUAUAUUCAGUGGCAAGGUUAACCAUCUAGGGGAGCCGUAGGGAAACCGAGUCUUAACUGGGCGUUCAGUCUCUGGAUAUAGACCCGAAAC
Molecule: ribosomal RNA, 387 nt
Filed under: Vibrio parahaemolyticus
Lineage: Bacteria; Pseudomonadati; Pseudomonadota; Gammaproteobacteria; Vibrionales; Vibrionaceae
Description: partial 23S ribosomal RNA
Rfam family: Bacterial large subunit ribosomal RNA
Source: RNAcentral